GAUGAACGCUGGCGGCGUGCCUAAUACAUGCAAGUCGAGCGAACGGACGAGAAGCUUGCUUCUCUGAUGUUAGCGGCGGACGGGUGAGUAAAACGUGGAUAACCUACCUAUAAGACUGGGAUAACUUCGGGAAACCGGUGCUAAUACCGGAUGAUAUUUUGAACCGCAUGGUUCAAAAGUGAAAGACGGUCUUGCUGUCACUUAUACAUGGAUCCGCGCUGCAUUAGCUAGUUGGUAAGGUAACGGCUUACCAAGGCAACGAUGCAUAGCCGACCUGAGAGGGUGAUCGGCCACACUGGAACUGAGACACGGUCCAGACUCCUACGGGAGGCAGCAGUAGGGAAUCUUCCGCAAUGGGCGAAAGCCUGACGGAGCAACGCCGCGUGAGUGAUGAAGGUCUUCGGAUCGUAAAACUCUGUUAUUAGGGAAGAACAUAUGUGUAAGUAACUGUGCACAUCUUGACGGUACCUAAUCAGAAAGCCACGGCUAACUACGUG
Molecule: ribosomal RNA, 497 nt
Filed under: uncultured bacterium
Lineage: Bacteria
Description: partial 16S ribosomal RNA
Rfam family: Bacterial small subunit ribosomal RNA
Source: RNAcentral